Small nuclear RNA from Ochotona curzoniae (black-lipped pika), 187 nucleotides. RefSeq annotates it as U2 spliceosomal RNA. Lineage: Eukaryota; Metazoa; Chordata; Mammalia; Lagomorpha; Ochotonidae. The record is from RefSeq and is a predicted model, not a curated record. The transcript has a single exon.
ACAUGCACAAAGCGCUUAGGUCAGGUGAAGUAUUUGUUCUUAUCAGUUUAAUAUCUAAUACAGUCCCCACCCGAGGAUGAUCAAUUAAAUUGCUUUUUGGAGCAGGGAAUUGGAAUAAAAGCCUGCUCUGUCACUAUACUUUUUCUAAGAAAAUAAUGCAUCCAGAGUAUUACUAAGGAGACAAACA